This 381-nucleotide ribosomal RNA is filed under the name Triticum aestivum (bread wheat). Its description in RNAcentral is "partial small subunit ribosomal RNA". The record is from RNAcentral. Lineage: Eukaryota; Viridiplantae; Streptophyta; Magnoliopsida; Poales; Poaceae.
AUGAUAAGUUUUAUACGUGUGGCACGAACACAUGGCAAUUCCGAACGUUUUUAUGGCAAGUUUAGUCACAGGAGGAUGACAACUUUAGUUGUCAAGAAUGGCAACUUUCUUUUCAGAUGGCAUGUUUCAAUUUUUUUGAGGGGGGGGGGGGUUAUUUUUUCUUUUCGGAUGCCAACUUUAGUUGUAAAAACAUCAAGCCAGAGUGCUUCAUGCCACACGUGUGGCAUUUAUUAUUUGGUCUACCUUAUCAUGGACACUACACAAGUUAAGGAAAUGAAUGGGAUGAGUUCUUGCAGGGUGACCGCCCUCUGCACCUACAUAAACCUAACAUACACUUCUCGAUCAUGUGAGUCAUUACGUGAACCAUGGGCCGAAACAUGA